GGUUAAGCGACUAAGCGUACACGGUGGAUGCCCUGGCAGUCAGAGGCGAUGAAGGGCGUGCUAAUCUGCGAUAAGCGCCGGUAAGGUGAUAUGAACCGUUAUAACCGGCGAUACCCGAAUGGGGAAACCCAGUGUGAUUCGUCACACUAUCAUUAACUGAAUCCAUAGGUUAAUGAGGCGAACCGGGGGAACUGAAACAUCUAAGUACCCCGAGGAAAAGAAAUCAACCGAGAUUCCCCCAGUAGCGGCGAGCGAACGGGGAGGAGCCCAGAGCCUGAAUCAGCAUGUGUGUUAGUGGAAGCGUCUGGAAAGGCGCGCGAUACAGGGUGACAGCCCCGUACACAAAAGCGCAUGUGCUGUGAGCUCGAUGAGUAGGGCGGGACACGUGGUAUCCUGUCUGAAUAUGGGGGGACCAUCCUCCAAGGCUAAAUACUCCUGACUGACCGAUAGUGAACCAGUACCGUGAGGGAAAGGCGAAAAGAACCCCGGCGAGGGGAGUGAAAAAGAACCUGAAACCGUGUACGUACAAGCAGUGGGAGCACAGGUUUACCUGUGUGACUGCGUACCUUUUGUAUAAUGGGUCAGCGACUUAUAUUCUGUAGCAAGGUUAACCGAAUAGGGGAGCCGCAGGGAAACCGAGUCUUAAUUGGGCGUUAAGUUGCAGGGUAUAGACCCGAAACCCGGUGAUCUAGCCAUGGGCAGGUUGAAGGUUGGGUAACACUAACUGGAGGACCGAACCGACUAAUGUUGAAAAAUUAGCGGAUGACCUGUGGCUGGGGGUGAAAGGCCAAUCAAACCGGGAGAUAGCUGGUUCUCCCCGAAAGCUAUUUAGGUAGCGCCUCGUGAAUUCAUCUCCGGGGGUAGAGCACUGUUUCGGCUAGGGGGCCAUCCCGGCUUACCAACCCGAUGCAAACUGCGAAUACCGGAGAAUGUUAUCACGGGAGACACACGGCGGGUGCUAACGUCCGUCGUGAAGAGGGAAACAACCCAGACCGCCAGCUAAGGUCCCAAAGUCAUGGUUAAGUGGGAAACGAUGUGGGAAGGCCCAGACAGCCAGGAUGUUGGCUUAGAAGCAGCCAUCAUUUAAAGAAAGCGUAAUAGCUCACUGGUCGAGUCGGCCUGCGCGGAAGAUGUAACGGGGCUAAACCAUGCACCGAAGCUGCGGCAGCGACGCUGAUGCGUUGUUGGGUAGGGGAGCGUUCUGUAAGCCUGUGAAGGUGUGUCGUGAGGCAUGCUGGAGGUAUCAGAAGUGCGAAUGCUGACAUAAGUAACGAUAAAGCGGGUGAAAAGCCCGCUCGCCGGAAGACCAAGGGUUCCUGUCCAACGUUAAUCGGGGCAGGGUGAGUCGACCCCUAAGGCGAGGCCGAAAGGCGUAGUCGAUGGGAAACGGGUUAAUAUUCCCGUACUUGGUGUUACUGCGAAGGGGGGACGGAGAAGGCUAUGUUGGCCGGGCGACGGUUGUCCCGGUUUAAGCGUGUAGGUGUGUGUUCCAGGUAAAUCCGGUUCACUUUAACACUGAGGCGUGAUGACGAGGCACUACGGUGCUGAAGCAACAAAUGCCCUGCUUCCAGGAAAAGCCUCUAAGCAUCAGGUAACAUCAAAUCGUACCCCAAACCGACACAGGUGGUCAGGUAGAGAAUACCAAGGCGCUUGAGAGAACUCGGGUGAAGGAACUAGGCAAAAUGGUGCCGUAACUUCGGGAGAAGGCACGCUGACACGUAGGUGAAGUGAUUUACUCACGGAGCUGAAGUCAGUCGAAGAUACCAGCUGGCUGCAACUGUUUAUUAAAAACACAGCACUGUGCAAACACGAAAGUGGACGUAUACGGUGUGACGCCUGCCCGGUGCCGGAAGGUUAAUUGAUGGGGUCAGCGCAAGCGAAGCUCCUGAUCGAAGCCCCGGUAAACGGCGGCCGUAACUAUAACGGUCCUAAGGUAGCGAAAUUCCUUGUCGGGUAAGUUCCGACCUGCACGAAUGGCGUAAUGAUGGCCAGGCUGUCUCCACCCGAGACUCAGUGAAAUUGAACUCGCUGUGAAGAUGCAGUGUACCCGCGGCAAGACGGAAAGACCCCGUGAACCUUUACUAUAGCUUGACACUGAACAUUGAGCCUUGAUGUGUAGGAUAGGUGGGAGGCUUUGAAGUGUGGACGCCAGUCUGCAUGGAGCCGACCUUGAAAUACCACCCUUUAAUGUUUGAUGUUCUAACGUGGACCCGUAAUCCGGGUUGCGGACAGUGUCUGGUGGGUAGUUUGACUGGGGCGGUCUCCUCCUAAAGAGUAACGGAGGAGCACGAAGGUUGGCUAAUCCUGGUCGGACAUCAGGAGGUUAGUGCAAUGGCAUAAGCCAGCUUGACUGCGAGCGUGACGGCGCGAGCAGGUGCGAAAGCAGGUCAUAGUGAUCCGGUGGUUCUGAAUGGAAGGGCCAUCGCUCAACGGAUAAAAGGUACUCCGGGGAUAACAGGCUGAUACCGCCCAAGAGUUCAUAUCGACGGCGGUGUUUGGCACCUCGAUGUCGGCUCAUCACAUCCUGGGGCUGAAGUAGGUCCCAAGGGUAUGGCUGUUCGCCAUUUAAAGUGGUACGCGAGCUGGGUUUAGAACGUCGUGAGACAGUUCGGUCCCUAUCUGCCGUGGGCGCUGGAGAACUGAGGGGGGCUGCUCCUAGUACGAGAGGACCGGAGUGGACGCAUCACUGGUGUUCGGGUUGUCAUGCCAAUGGCACUGCCCGGUAGCUAAAUGCGGAAGAGAUAAGUGCUGAAAGCAUCUAAGCACGAAACUUGCCCCGAGAUGAGUUCUCCCUGAGACUUUAAGUCUCCUGAAGGAACGUUGAAGACGACGACGUUGAUAGGCCGGGUGUGUAAGCGCAGCGAUGCGUUGAGCUAACCGGUACUAAUGAACCGUGAGGCUUAACCUU
RNAcentral lists this ribosomal RNA (2908 nucleotides) under Salmonella enterica. RNAcentral describes it as "23S ribosomal RNA". It matches the Rfam family "Bacterial large subunit ribosomal RNA". Lineage: Bacteria; Pseudomonadati; Pseudomonadota; Gammaproteobacteria; Enterobacterales; Enterobacteriaceae. The record is from RNAcentral.